AGGUUAAAAUUUUAAAUAAUUAAAAGUUUGUAUGCAAAUAUAGGCUUAUCCCUUUUUCUUUUUAUCUAAGAAUUAUGGCACAAAAUUAAGAAGUUUUGUUGUAAGAGUACUAAUUCUUAUUGUUUAAUACCUAUGCUAAUGACUGGAGUGAUGGAAUAGAUUAAUUUUACACACACACACACACAUACACAUUUUCAGUGAACUUUAUCUUACUGUCUCACCACUCACCAAACUGGAGCAAAUAUCCACAAUAAGAACACUUUACUGUUUAUAUAACUUGCCAUUUAGUAUUUAUUUCCAGUAUCAAUUGUGACUUAAAACAAAUUAACAUAAUUCAUUAUCUUAUGAUUUCCAGUUUGAUUAAACAAAUGGUCCAUGCGCAUACUUAAUGGGAUGAUUGCACUCUACAUCUCUCUAGAUCUCCAUUAAAAGACAAGCUGCAAACUCAGUGGUUAAGACCACCGGCUGACAUCUCUCUGUGUCCAGAUCAGAUGUUUUGAAUAAGUGUGGCUGGACAAUGCGAUAUUCUAAACCCGCAAACUGAGUAAUUGAAGAAUUUCAGAGAUGCAACCAGACAUGGGGUAGCUGGCCUCAGUGGAGGUUUAGAAGGCAGCCAUUCAAGCACCUAAAGAAAGACAACAGAUGAAAGCUGGCAGCCUCUUCAUUUACAGACAGUACACUUUUCUGAAUUUAGCAAGGCUUCCCCUCCCCCCAGAGCCUUCCAUGUCCAUUUAUGAACUAUAAGAAGGAUUCAGUAUGUGUCAUCAUUUUCAUAAAAGGAAGGAAAUCAGCAAAGUAGCCCAACUCUCUGGGGAAGAUGCAAUGUCAACAAUUAGGAAGAAAGAAGAAUUGGAGCUUAUAAUCAGACAAAUUCCAGCUACAUGUAUUGAGGAAAGAAAUUUCUUAUGACUAAGAAAGGCUUUCUGAGGCUGCACUGAAGAAAUAGGACGGAAUUCAUAACUGUGACUUCCAGAGUAAUAUUCUGUUUCAUAGGAAGAUACAAAUAAAUGGCCGAUUUUCUGUCUAGCUGUGUGAUAGGAUGACAAUCUUUUCGCUUGGCUUUUCCAUCUAAAAAAUGGCUAUACCAUGAAUAUUAUCUUUCUUUGUGUGAAU
RNAcentral lists this long non-coding RNA (1113 nucleotides) under Canis lupus familiaris (dog). Its description in RNAcentral is "lncRNA (ENSCAFG00845015911.1)". Lineage: Eukaryota; Metazoa; Chordata; Mammalia; Carnivora; Canidae. The record is from RNAcentral.